GCCGCCCCGGGGUGUGACUGGCCUCUGCACGUGGCCCAAGGCCAGACCGACCUCCCCUGGGAAAAGCCUCCUUUUGCUCCUACUUCCCGCCAGAGGUUUUCGAGCUCCCUUGCGUCUGCCAGCCAGACUGUGGUGAGUGCUGCUCUCCUAUAGAAAUAGGAAUCUGGAAGAAAGGAAAACAAUCCUAGAAGCAAAACAAAAGUAUGAGAUCACUCAUGGAUGGUGGUACCUUAUCAUUUAGACAGAUCACUUGCUGGAUGGUCUGAGUAUGCAAAUUCUGUCUAAUUGUCUUAUCCAGUGUUUCUCUGAAUGGAAGCAGUGGCCAUUAGAUGCCACUCCACAUAGCCAUUAAACAGCUUUGACCUUGAAGACAUGGAUAUAGAUGAGGAGAAGCAUCCACUUGGCACCUUUGGCCACUUUUGCUUCAGUGAACUGAGUAGGGUGUCCAAGAAGAAACCCUUGCCUUAGGAAGACUUCUAAGAUUCCAGUGACCUCCACCUCCUGAAGUUUACACCUUUGUGUAAUCACCCCUCUCCUUGAGCAUUGGUUGACCAUAGUGAUUUGCCUCUAAUAGAAUAAAGGAAAGGUAAUGGGA
This is a long non-coding RNA of Felis catus (domestic cat), 595 nucleotides long. RefSeq lists it as uncharacterized. The record is from RefSeq and is a predicted model, not a curated record. The transcript is spliced from 3 exons. Lineage: Eukaryota; Metazoa; Chordata; Mammalia; Carnivora; Felidae.